This 118-nucleotide ribosomal RNA is filed under the name Jaculus jaculus (lesser Egyptian jerboa). The record is from RNAcentral. Lineage: Eukaryota; Metazoa; Chordata; Mammalia; Rodentia; Dipodidae.
UCUACAGUCAUACCAUCCUGAAUGCACCCAAUCUUGUCUGAACUGAGAAGCUAAGCAGGGUCAGGCCUGGUUAGUACUUGGAUGGGAGACAAUGGUAAAACCCCAGAAGUUGGAAGAU